Molecule: ribosomal RNA, 446 nt
Filed under: uncultured bacterium
Lineage: Bacteria
Description: bacterial SSU rRNA
Rfam family: Bacterial small subunit ribosomal RNA
Source: RNAcentral
ACUCCUACGGGAGGCAGCAGUGGGGAAUAUUGCGCAAUGGGGGAAACCCUGACGCAGCAAUGCCGCGUGAAUGAUGAAGGCCUUCGGGUUGUAAAGUUCUUUUAUUAGGGAAGAUAAUGACGGUACCUAAAGAAAAAGCCCCGGCUAACUUCGUGCCAGCAGCCGCGGUAAUACGAAGGGGCUAGCGUUGUUCGGAAUUACUGGGCGUAAAGAGCGUGUAGGCGGUUUAUUAAGUUGGAUGUGAAAUCCCUGGCUUAACCUAGGAACUGCAUCCAAAACUGGUUUACUUGAGUACGAGAGGGGAAAGCGGAAUUUCCGCGUGUAGCAGUGAAAUGCGUAGAUAUGCGGAGGAACACCAGGGGCGAAGGCGGCUUUCUGGCUCGUAACUGACGCUGAGGCGCGAAACGUGGGGAGCAAACAGGAUUAGAUCCCCUGGUAGGCUCUGC